Long non-coding RNA from Priapulus caudatus, 694 nucleotides. RefSeq lists it as uncharacterized. The transcript is spliced from 3 exons. The record is from RefSeq and is a predicted model, not a curated record. Lineage: Eukaryota; Metazoa; Priapulida; Priapulimorpha; Priapulimorphida; Priapulidae.
CACGCGCACGCACGCAUACACUACACGGAUAAUAAGGUCGCUGGAUCGUGUUUCAUUGCAAUUAGCACGUGCGACGUCCGCCGCGUGCGUGGUGUGAAGCUUCCGGACUAUCUCAUACAUGGCUCGCGCGGCCGCCCCGCCCAGCCAAUCAAUAAUAUUCUUACACUUCACGGCCGGGCUAUUUACAGCGUACGUGCCGCGCGCUGUAACGCCAGACGGCAGCUAAUAUAGAUGCAGGCGUCGCCACCGUCGCGUGGCCGACGUCGUAAUGGCAGCUGUAUCGUUGCGCCUCGGGUCAUAUCAGUGUGUAUAAUUGAUGGUAGAUGGAUGGAUGAAUGGAUGGAUGGACGGAUGGAUAGAUAGGUGCAUGGGUGCAUGACUGAUGUAUAGCAACGCCACCUGUAGGCUGGACGGAGACAGCAAGAUCACCGAUGCGUUGGCACGGGCACGAGCACGAGUUGGUGAUGCUCAGUCAGACCUUGUCUGUGUGCAUCUCCGCCUCUCGUCUCUUCUUGCUUUAUGACUCUACAUGAAGUUCGGCGCCCCCUGGUGAGACAGAACUUCUCUAUACAUCAAGUUUAUCGCGCCCUGCCCCUAGCGAAGCAGCACUUCUCUACAUCAAGCGCAACGCCCCCUGGUGAGACAAAACCUCUCUUCGUUGAGCUCGGCGCCCCUUGGGAGACAGCACCACCUC